AGGCUUAACACAUGCAAGUCGAGCGGGUGUAGCAAUACACCAGCGGCAGACGGGUGAGUAACGCGUGGGAACGUACCUUUUGGUUCGGAACAACCCAGGGAAACUUGGACUAAUACCGGAUAAGCCCUUACGGGGAAAGAUUUAUCGCCGAAAGAUCGGCCCGCGUCUGAUUAGCUAGUUGGUGAGGUAAUGGCUCACCAAGGCGACGAUCAGUAGCUGGUCUGAGAGGAUGAUCAGCCACAUUGGGACUGAGACACGGCCCAA
RNAcentral lists this ribosomal RNA (264 nucleotides) under uncultured bacterium. Its description in RNAcentral is "partial 16S ribosomal RNA". It matches the Rfam family "Bacterial small subunit ribosomal RNA", at positions 46 to 334 of the family's 1533-position model. The record is from RNAcentral.